RNAcentral lists this ribosomal RNA (766 nucleotides) under uncultured archaeon. RNAcentral describes it as "bacterial SSU rRNA". It matches the Rfam family "Archaeal small subunit ribosomal RNA", at positions 128 to 858 of the family's 1478-position model. The record is from RNAcentral.
AACCCCGGGAAACUGGGGCUAAUUCCUGAUAGGCGAAGAGCUCUGGAAUGAGCCUUCACCAGAAAAGACGAUUAGGCUAUGCUCCUGGUCGUCGCUCGAGGAUGGGGCCGCGGCCGAUCAGGUUGUUGGUGAGGUAACGGCUCACCAAGCCUUUGACCGGUGCGGGCCGUGGGAGCGGGAGCCCGGAGAUGGGCACUGAGACAAGGGCCCAGGCCCUACGGGGCGCAGCAGUCGCGCAAACUUUGCAAUACACGAAAGUGUGACAGGGCUAUCCCGAGUGCCGUCCGCUGAGGAUGGCUUUUUAACCAGUUCUAGAAAGCUGGUAGAAUAAGGAGAGGGCAAGUCUGGUGUCAGCCCGCCCGCGGUAAAUACCAGCUCUUCCGAGUGGGUGGUGGAUGUUUUAUUUGGGCCUAAAGCCAUUCCGUAGCUUGGCCAAGUUAGUCUCCUGUUUAAACCCAAACGAAUUAAUCGUUGGAUUGCGGGGGGAUACUUGCUCGGCUAGGGGACGAGAGAGGCCGACGGUAUUCUCGGGGUAGGGGUGAAAUCCUAAUAAUCCCGGGAAGACCACCAGUGGCGAAGGCUGUCGGCUAGAACGAGCCCGACGGUGAGGGGAUGAAAGCUGGGGAGCGAACCGGAUUAGAUACCCGGGUAGUCCCAGCUGUAAACGAUGCAGGCUAGGUGUUUGGACGGCCACGUGCCGUUCUAGUGCCGCAGGGAAGCUGUUAAGCCUGCCGCCUGGAGAGUACGAUCGCAAGAUUGAAACUUA